This 306-nucleotide long non-coding RNA is filed under the name Elaeis guineensis (African oil palm). RNAcentral's name for it is "long non-coding RNA (EGUI_LNC008890)". Lineage: Eukaryota; Viridiplantae; Streptophyta; Magnoliopsida; Arecales; Arecaceae. The record is from RNAcentral.
CCAUGCCUUUAAUUUGAGGUAAAGAAAGUUCUUUUUUUCUGUUCGUUCAAACCGAAAAAAAUAUGCUCACAAUUUGGAACAAUGGAGGAACAUCAAGCGAAGCAGAGAGAUGGAGCAUGAGUGACCUGGUAGAGGAUCAUGCUAGGGGUCUCACCAUACCAAUUGGAUUAAAAGGGAAAGCAUGGAAAAAAAGAUCUGACAAAGAAUUGAGAGGAAAAAAAUACUCUCGUCUCCUGGAUCUUAGAAAAAAGUAAAGGGACGGAUGAAAAUUUUGCUUUUUAUGGAGGAUCAUUGCAGAUGAUGAGA